RNAcentral lists this ribosomal RNA (253 nucleotides) under uncultured bacterium. RNAcentral describes it as "partial 16S ribosomal RNA". It matches the Rfam family "Bacterial small subunit ribosomal RNA", at positions 524 to 776 of the family's 1533-position model. The record is from RNAcentral.
UACGUAGGGUGCGAGCGUUAAUCGGAAUUACUGGGCGUAAAGCGUGCGCAGGCGGUUGUGCAAGACCGAUGUGAAAUCCCCGGGCUCAACCUGGGAAUGGCAUUGGUGACUGCACGGCUAGAGUGUGUCAGAGGGGGGUAGAAUUCCACGUGUAGCAGUGAAAUGCGUAGAUAUCGGGAGGAAUACCGAUGGCGAAGGCAGGUCUCUGGGCUGACACUGACGCUCAUGCACGAAAGCGUGGGGAGCAAACAGG